RNAcentral lists this ribosomal RNA (253 nucleotides) under uncultured bacterium. RNAcentral describes it as "partial 16S ribosomal RNA". It matches the Rfam family "Bacterial small subunit ribosomal RNA", at positions 524 to 776 of the family's 1533-position model. The record is from RNAcentral.
UACAGAGGGUGCAAGCGUUAAUCGGAUUUACUGGGCGUAAAGGGUGCGUAGGUGGUUAUUUAAGUUUGAUGUGAAAGCCCUGGGCUUAACCUAGGAACUGCAUUGAAAACUGGGUAACUUGAGUACUGUAGAGGGUAGUGGAAUUUCCGGUGUAGCGGUGAAAUGCGUAGAGAUCGGAAGGAACACCAGUGGCGAAGGCGGCUACCUGGACAGAUACUGACACUGAGGCACGAGAGCGUGGGGAGCAAACAGG